Ziziphus jujuba (common jujube) is the source of this 1933-nucleotide long non-coding RNA. RefSeq lists it as uncharacterized. The transcript has 4 exons. The record is from RefSeq and is a predicted model, not a curated record. Lineage: Eukaryota; Viridiplantae; Streptophyta; Magnoliopsida; Rosales; Rhamnaceae.
UUUUGUAAUGUUAAAAAAAAAAAGGGAAUUUGGCCCUUUACCCCUAUUGGAGUCCUCCUAACAAUAUCUACCCACUCGAUUCUAAUUCUUUUUGUUUUGCCCUCUUAUUUUUUAAUAUUUCUAUAGUACCCUUUUGAGAUAUCAAAAACAAAUUAAACGAAAAGUCCAUUGUUCCCUUCUCUGUUUUUUUCUUUCUUUCACUUCCCUUUGAGUUCUACUCCUUCAAAAUUUUCACCGGAUCUUCUCUUCUCCUUCCUCACCCUUCCCCCGAAAAAACUAGAUUUAGGGUUAGGGUUUGAGUUUUCGAAUUUCCGAUUCAAACAUAAUCGACGAUGGUGUCUAAAUAUUCAAAUGUGUGAGCAUUAGACGCUGAACUGAAGUGGUCAUAUCCCAAACAAAAUAAAAACACAGAGAGAGAGAGAGAGAGGGAGAGAGAGAGAGAGAGAGGAAACGAUGAAGUAAUGGCAAGCAAGGAAGAGAGCGCAGUAAAGGAGACUGCUCUUGCCAAUCUUAUUGUAAGGUUUUUUUGUCAUAGCUUUAAAAAAUGACCCACUGUGUUUUCAAUUUUGUUUUCAAUUAGGUAUUUACGCUAAUCUGAUCAUAUACCAAGAUAAUUCCUUGCAAGCAGUAUGGUCAAACAAUGAAGGUGAUCGAAGACUUAUUAGAGUGGAUAUUGUUGAUUGAGGAUUUCAAUAUUUAACCCUCAUCCUGGAAUGGAUGGCAGUGAUGAGAAUUCAACUGUAAAGUGCCCUUUUUUGGCAUGUUUGGAUAUGGAGGACCUAUUGCAUCUAUGCAUCUAGGAAGGCAUACUCUUGUUUCUUCGAAGAUAGAAUUCGAAGAAAGUAUAUACAUUACAUCUUGAGAGAGAAGCCUUACUUGAUAGUUCUGGCUCUGAACAUACCUGGACGAUAGUUAAGUUGCAUACCAGUUUCGUGAUCUAUCAAAGGGCCAUAUUUUUUUUAAUAUUUUUAUUUGAUUUCUCUUACAUUUUUGCAAUAGAGCCAUCCAAUGGUUUUCAAUCACUUGUACUAAUGGAAAACUUUAUUUCCAUUUUAGACUGAAGGGGUUAUAAAGAAUCCCUUAGAAGAUGAAAUUAGGGACACACCCCACGGAGAGCUACUCUGUUUCUAUUAUUUUAUACUUUUGGCAUGGUCAAAUGGAGAAAUUAUGUGUCAAUUAUAAGAAUUUACUUGUGCCAGUUGUGAAUUUGACAAAAUGAUAGCUGUUGAUUUUUUUUUUUUUUUAACAAGUGGGAUUCCUUGUAGUAAUUUUCACAUUGUACCUGACCAGAAGAAUAUACGUGCUUGCUUUUAUGUGAUUAUGAUCAAUUAUUUGAACAUGCUACCUGAUAUAAUUUUUUUUUAUGGUAGAUGGGUGGAUAAAAUCCUUGAGGCAUUAAGAGGAUAUGACUACUAGAGGACUGGCUGUUAAUUGUUUAGGUGAAAAAAGCAGUUGCUUGUUUUUAUUCCUUAAAUUUAAAAUGAGCUCUCCUCAGUUUUCUCCAGAUGCAGGUAUAUGAGAUGAUGUGAGAGGUGUAGAAUAAUGCAGCAACAUAGACAUGGAAAAGUUUGAAGUUUCUAUUUAACGUGAUUACAUGCCAGCAGCAAUACAAUAUGUUGGAAUGUUUAACAUCCUGAACAGCUCAUAUCUGGUAGCUAGAUCAUUCUUUUGAAGUUAGUGAAGAGCAAUAAUUUUAUGGAAAGCCAACUUUCCUGCUUGUAUAUAUGUUUAUAAUUUUCCAAAAAUGAAGUUUUGAUAAUGACCCGACAUCUUUUUUACUAUGCCUUAAUGAUGAGUUGUUACCACUCUUAGUAAAAUAAUGAACACUAGUGUAGUUAUGAUUCAUGUCCAAGUAGUAUUUGUUCCUUUUCAAUGAUGUUAUUGUAUAAUACUUCUGUACAUUAUAAGCAAAUAAUGGAAGCUCACUUUAAUA